This 237-nucleotide ribosomal RNA is filed under the name uncultured bacterium. Its description in RNAcentral is "partial 16S ribosomal RNA". It matches the Rfam family "Bacterial small subunit ribosomal RNA", at positions 99 to 334 of the family's 1533-position model. The record is from RNAcentral.
CGGACGGGUGAGUAACGCGUGAGGAACCUGCCUUGAAGAGGGGGACAACAGUUGGAAACGACUGCUAAUACCGCAUAAGCCCACGGCUCGGCAUCGAGCAGAGGGAAAAGGAGCAAUCCGCUUUGAGAUGGCCUCGCGUCCGAUUAGCUAGUUGGUGAGGUAACGGCCCACCAAGGCGACGAUCGGUAGCCGGACUGGGAGGUUGAACGGCCACAUUGGGACUGAGACACGGCCCAG